ACUCAAAGGAAUAGACGGGGACCCGCACAAGCGGUGGAGCGUGUUGUUUAAUUCGAUGGUAAGCGAAGAACCUUACCCAGGCUUGACAUCCUGCGAAGGCUUCCGAAAGGAAACUGUGCUUUCGAGAACGCAGUGACAGGUGAUGCAUGGCCGUCGUCAGCUCGUGUCGUGAGAUGUAUGGUUAAGUCCAUUAACGAGCGCAACCCUUAUGUUUAGUUGAAUUUCUCUAAACAGACUGCCCUGGCAACAGGGAGGAAGGAGGGGAUGACGUCAGGUCAGUAUUUCCCUUACGUCUGGGGCUACAAACACGCUACAAUGGCCGGUACAAAGGGCAGCCAACCCGCGAGGGGGAGCAAAUCCCAUCAAAACCGGUCCCAGUUCGGAUAGCAGGCUGAAACUCGCCUGCUUGAAGUCGGAAUCGCUAGUAACGGUAAGUCAGCACAUUACCGUGAAUACGUUCCCGGGUCUUGUACACACCGCCCGU
This 484-nucleotide ribosomal RNA is filed under the name uncultured bacterium. Its description in RNAcentral is "bacterial SSU rRNA". It matches the Rfam family "Bacterial small subunit ribosomal RNA", at positions 899 to 1397 of the family's 1533-position model. The record is from RNAcentral.